AGCGCGGUCUGAGCGCGCGGCGGCUGCGGCGGCGGACAGACGGACGGACCGCGGACGGACGUACGGACCACAACCCGCGAGCCCCGGGAGCCGUCGGCCUGAGGAGGGGCCGCUUCGCCAUGUCGCCCCGCACCUGCUGAGCCCGGAGCGUCCGAGGAUGUCCGCGCUGAGGAAGGCUUCCUCGCCAUCCGAGGCUUGGCCCUAGCCCUGCGCGGCUUCCCUUGCGGCUGCGAACCCUCUGCCUGCGCCCAGCCCAGCCACAAUGGGGACUGCUCAGGUUUUGCCUGGCAUUCUGCAGAAGCAUUGCUGUAUCUUACCAGACAGGAAUACAGGCCAUCUCCAAACUAUAGUCCCAUUGGGCUGGGGCACCAAAUAUGGAUUUAGGGUGUGUGUAAUUCAGUCCAUAGCACCCACCAAACCACAGAAGCCGCCCCGAGCUGAUGUCCCGCUAUCGGUGAGGCUGCAGGACACUGUCCCAUUGCUGCAUGGAGUCUCUUGCUGUCUGAGCCAUCACCUGAAGCCGGCCCACAUCAUUUUCUUAUUCUACGCAUUGGAGCAAAAAUGUUUAAUUGACUACGAUGGGUGAUUCCUAAAGUUAUAUUUGACUUAGAAAAAAAUGCAUUAGUAAAACUCCCUGUUUGAAUGUUUCUAGUAUUCAGAGCCCAGGUCACUAUCUUUCUAUAAUGACUGGUAUCUGAAAUAAGAACAUGGCCUACAACUUACAGCCUUGCUCUUUCUACUAUAUAAACUUCCCCAAUCAAAUAUUUUUCAUUAAAAAAAAUGUGUUUUUGGAAAUGAACAGUUACAAUCUGG
RNAcentral lists this small RNA (813 nucleotides) under Pongo abelii (Sumatran orangutan). RNAcentral's name for it is "processed transcript". Lineage: Eukaryota; Metazoa; Chordata; Mammalia; Primates; Hominidae. The record is from RNAcentral.